RNAcentral lists this ribosomal RNA (459 nucleotides) under uncultured bacterium. RNAcentral's name for it is "partial 16S ribosomal RNA". It matches the Rfam family "Bacterial small subunit ribosomal RNA", at positions 338 to 795 of the family's 1533-position model. The record is from RNAcentral.
CCUACGGUGUGCAGCAGUGAGGAAUAUUGGUCAAUGGCCGCAAGGCUGAACCAGCCAAGCCGCGUGAAGGACGAAGGUGCCAAGCAUUGUAAACUUCUUUUGUCAAGGGACAAAAUCAGGCUCGAGAGCCUGACCGAGGGUACUUGAAGAAAAAGCAUCGGCUAACUCCGGGCCAUCAGCCGCGGUAAUACAGAGGAUUCGGACGUUAUCCGGAUUUAUUGGGUUUAAAGGGUGCGUAGGCGGGCUGUUAAGUCAGCGGUAAAAGCCCGGGGCUCAACCCCGUCGAGCCGUUGAAACUGGCUGUAGUGAGAUGUCGAGAGGUAUGCGGAAUGCGUGGUGUAGCGGUGAAAUGCUUAGAUAUGGCGCAGAACUCCGAUUGCGAAGGCAGCAUACCGGCGGCGAUCUGACGCUGAGGCACGAAAGCGUGGGUAUCGAACAGGAUUAGAUACCCCGGUAGUC